GCAACCCACCACUGGAGGCUACAGGCUCUUUGGUGGGGCUAAUGGUGGACUCCAGGAGGGCUCACACCAAUGGGUACUUUCCAGAACUUCUGCUGCCAGUGUCCUUGUCCCCACAGUGAGCCACAGCUGCCCCCUGCCUCUGCAAAAGACCCUCCAACAUUAGCAGAGUGUGUGGUUCCAGUGAAGGCUGCCAAUCAUCUUAACAUCUCGUUGGUCACAGAGAUGGGUGCAUGACCUAAGCUGGACCAAUGGGAGUGACAAAGUUGGGAGAUGGAAACUUGGGAGCCCCUGGAAGUCAUGGGAUCAUCCUCAGGAAAGCCAAUGUGCAGAAGGCAGCAAAGACUGAAAGAAGGGUCCUGAAGGUUUAUGAACUUACUACUAAAGAUGAAACCGAAACAGAGAGAUUUUAAGUAAUGUGCCUGAGGUCACACAGCUAGAAAGUGGCAGAACCAGACAGUUUUUCUGUCUCCAGAUAGCUCCUAAUCAUUACAUGGAAACAAUAAACACGGGAAAAAAAGAGAAGAAAAGACAAGAAGAAGAGAGAAAGAAAGGAGAAGAAAACUCAGGAAAAGAUAAGGAAUAUGUGCCACACGAAGUUUGCAACCCUUAUGACAUUUUCUGAACUGGUUAGUUAUAACUGGAUUUUACUCGGGGUAAUCAACAAGGAAACAGAUGGGUCCUCUAAGACCUCGGCUAUCAUCUGAGUGAAUCGGCUGUUUCCUGGAUUAGGAUGGUUAUUCUUGUGUUCAAAAGAACUGGGAAAUAUUUAGGGCUGGUUUUCAGAAGGAAAGAAACACUACAAAUCACCCAAUGAACAGUGCUCUGGCAGUGCUACCAGGUCUUCUCUUGCUGCAUUAUGUCUCUACGCAAUUUUCCCCUUUGGUAGAGAGCAUGGCAUAUCUCAUAAUCCAAAUUAAGAGGGUAGUCAAACCAUAUUGUGGAACGCUGUUUGAAUACCAUGACAUUAACAGUUUGUCUAUAUGAAACCCCAAGACUAUUGCCAGAGGCUGAAAAUAUUCUGAGUCUCAGACAAGUUCAUAUCCUGCUGAAGACCUUAGCCCACCAUAAUAAGGUAAUCCCUUCAAUAACUCCCCCCUGACAGGUUUUAUAUGAUCAUUUCUGACACACUUGCUACAGUCAUUGUGAAUUCUCAAUACAAGACUUUUAUUGCAACCUUUUUGUUAGGGAGAAUUUCAAUUUCCAGAAUUUUAGUGUUAUGCCUCAAGUAAGACAAAAUCCUAGCACCUAAUUAUUAUAGGCUAUUCCUUUUCUCGAGGAACUAUUCCCCGCCAAAUGUCUCAGUGAAUGUACCGAUAAGAAUAAGGAGUGGAAUAAA
Molecule: long non-coding RNA, 1336 nt
Organism: Hippopotamus amphibius kiboko
Lineage: Eukaryota; Metazoa; Chordata; Mammalia; Artiodactyla; Hippopotamidae
Exons: 3
Source: RefSeq, a predicted model, not a curated record